UACGUAGGGGGCAAGCGUUAUCCGGAUUUACUGGGUGUAAAGGGAGCGUAGACGGAGCAGCAAGUCUGAUGUGAAAACCCGGGGCUCAACCCCGGGACUGCAUUGGAAACUGUUGAUCUGGAGUGCCGGAGAGGUAAGCGGAAUUCCUAGUGUAGCGGUGAAAUGCGUAGAUAUUAGGAGGAACACCAGUGGCGAAGGCGGCUUACUGGACGGUAACUGACGUUGAGGCUCGAAAACGUGGGGAGCAAACAGG
Molecule: ribosomal RNA, 253 nt
Filed under: [Ruminococcus] lactaris ATCC 29176
Lineage: Bacteria; Bacillati; Bacillota; Clostridia; Lachnospirales; Lachnospiraceae
Description: partial 16S ribosomal RNA
Rfam family: Bacterial small subunit ribosomal RNA
Source: RNAcentral